GCGGUAGAAGCGUUCGGUCAGGCGCGGCAGGUGUUUGCUGUCGAUGCCGAUCCCGGAAUCCUGCACGCUCAGGUGCGCGCCCUGUUCAUCGCCCCA
Molecule: transfer RNA, 96 nt
Filed under: compost metagenome
Description: tRNA-Asn
Source: RNAcentral